AGGGAAUUAGCUCAAAUGGUAGAGCACUCGCUUAGCAUGUGAGAGGUAGCAGGAUUGAUGCCUGCAUUCUCCA
RNAcentral lists this transfer RNA (73 nucleotides) under Chelonia mydas (Green sea turtle). It matches the Rfam family "tRNA". Rfam says of the family: Transfer RNA (tRNA) molecules are approximately 80 nucleotides in length. Their secondary structure includes four short double-helical elements and three loops (D, anti-codon, and T loops). The record is from Rfam by way of RNAcentral. Lineage: Eukaryota; Metazoa; Chordata; Testudines; Cheloniidae.